GACGAACGCUGGCGGCGUGCUUAACACAUGCAAGUCGAACGGAAAGGCCAUGCUUGUAGGGUACUCGCGUGGCGAACGGGCGAGUAACACGUGGGUGAUCUGCCCUGCACUUAGGGAUAAGUAUGGGCAACAGGGUCUAAUAAAGGACAGGUGAUAUAUUUAGCGUGAUGGUUGGAAAGUUUUUUCGGUGUAGGGUGAGAUUGCGGCAUAACGGCUUGUUGGGGGGGUAAUGGCCUACCAAGGCGGCGACGGGUAGCCGGCCUGAGGGGGUGGACGGAGACCCUGGGACUGAGGUACGGCCCAGGCUCCUACGGGUGGCAGCAGGGGGGAAGAUUGCAGAAGGGGCGCAAGGCGGAUGCAGCAAGUCCGCGGAGGGGAUGACGGUCUUCGGGUUGAAAACUACUUUCGCUAGGGACGAAGCUUUUUGUGACGGUACCUAGAUAGAAAGCACCGGCUAACUACGUG
RNAcentral lists this ribosomal RNA (465 nucleotides) under uncultured bacterium. RNAcentral describes it as "partial 16S ribosomal RNA". It matches the Rfam family "Bacterial small subunit ribosomal RNA", at positions 28 to 507 of the family's 1533-position model. The record is from RNAcentral.